This 468-nucleotide ribosomal RNA is filed under the name uncultured bacterium. RNAcentral describes it as "partial 16S ribosomal RNA". It matches the Rfam family "Bacterial small subunit ribosomal RNA", at positions 28 to 507 of the family's 1533-position model. The record is from RNAcentral.
GACGAACGCUGGCGGCGUGCUUAACACAUGCAAGUCGAACGGAAAGGCCCUGCUUUUGUGGGGUGCUCGAGUGGCGAACGGGUGAGUAACACGUGAGUAACCUGCCCUUGACUUUGGGAUAACUUCAGGAAACUGGGGCUAAUACCGGAUAGGAGCUCCUGCUGCAUGGUGGGGGUUGGAAAGUUUCGGCGGUUGGGGAUGGACUCGCGGCUUAUCAGCUUGUUGGUUGGGUAGUGGCUUACCAAGGCUUUGACGGGUAGCCGGCCUGAGAGGGUGACCGGCGACAUUGGGACUGAGAUACGGACCAGACUCCUACGGGAGGCAGCAGUGGGGAAUAUUGCAGAAUGGGCGGAAGCCUGAUGCAGCAACGCCGCGUGCGGGAUGACGGCCUUCGGGUUGUAAACCGCUUUCGCCUGUGACGAAGCGUGAGUGACGGUAAUGGGUAAAGAAGCACCGGCUAACUACGUG